RNAcentral lists this ribosomal RNA (253 nucleotides) under uncultured bacterium. RNAcentral's name for it is "partial 16S ribosomal RNA". It matches the Rfam family "Bacterial small subunit ribosomal RNA", at positions 524 to 776 of the family's 1533-position model. The record is from RNAcentral.
UACGGGGGGGGCAAGCGUUGUUCGGAAUUACUGGGCGUAAAGGGUGCGUAGGUGGGCAGGUAAGUCAGUGGUGAAAUCUCCGGGCUUAACCCGGAAACUGCCAUUGAUACUAUUUGUCUUGAAUACCGUGGAGGUCAGCGGAAUAUGUCAUGUAGCGGUGAAAUGCUUAGAUAUGACAUAGAACACCAAUUGCGAAGGCAGCUGGCUACACGAAUAUUGACACUGAUGCACGAAAGCGUGGGGAUCAAACAGG